CCUACGGGAGGCAGCAGUGGGGAAUAUUGCACAAUGGGGGGAACCCUGAUGCAGCGACGCCGCGUGGGUGAAGGAGCACCUCGGUGCGUAAAGCCCUAUCGGCAGGGAAGAAACAGACGGUACCUGACUAAGAAGCCCCGGCUAACUACGUGCCAGCAGCCGCGGUAAUACGGAGGAUGCGAGCGGUAUCCGGAUUUAUUGGGUUAAAAGGGUGCGUAGGCGGACUGUUAAGUCAGCGGUAAAAGCCCGGGGCUCAACCCCGGCGAGCCGUUGAAACUGGCUGUCUUGAGAUGUCGAGAGGUAUGCGGAAUGCGCAGUGUAGCGGUGAAAUGCUUAGAUAUUGCGCAGAACUCCGAUUGCGAAGGCAGCAUACCGGCGGCGAUCUGACGCUGAGGCACGAAAGCGUGGGUAUCGAACAGGAUUAGAUACCCCAGUAGUC
RNAcentral lists this ribosomal RNA (439 nucleotides) under uncultured bacterium. RNAcentral describes it as "partial 16S ribosomal RNA". It matches the Rfam family "Bacterial small subunit ribosomal RNA", at positions 338 to 795 of the family's 1533-position model. The record is from RNAcentral.